UUGGUGUAAUAGGUUCAAUCUGAAGUUUGUUGUAAUGAGAUAAGAGUACGACUCGUUUCUUGGAUUAUCCAUAAAAACAGGAGCCUAGGGGUCGACGGCUUAGGCCAAUGCAUUUGCUGCCAGCCAAAACCCUAGGCCAACACACCCACGCGAUCCGAUCUAGCACCCACGCUUGUAGUGAAUGGAAGAGCUUUGACUAAUGGCGACACCAACAGGCUCGGGGUUCGAUCCUCCUCCUCUGCAAGACAAUGGAGGCAACACCGGCGACAAGGAUCCUCGACCACCAUCGCGACAGAAUAUGGCAGGAGGAGGUGGGACUGUGAUGCGAUGCAAGAUACCGUCGCAAUCGUGAACAACAACUAAUGUAUGUUCACCAAAAACUCUCAGUAGAUUAGAUCUACUCAUCGUCGAGGGUAUUUACUAAUACAUAUUGAUAUUUUAGGGGUUUAGGUGUGAUCCUAGACACCCACAGUUUCUAUCACAAAGAACAUUUUCAUAAUGUUUUAAAUGCAGUAUGUGGAACAUUUUCAUGAUAUUUUAGUGGUUAUUUCUGAUAUGCAUGGGUAACAUGGUUACACUGAUAAGAAAGAUAAUUAGUUUUGGAACCUUCAAACUAUAGGGUACUAGUUAUCAACGUACUAGUGGUAUAGUACAAAUUAGGACACAUAUCAGCGCUUGAUCAUCAGUUUCUUCAAUGGUUUUAGGGGAACCGACAUAACAAAAUGGUACAUAUGUUUGCAUAGUGGGGGAGAUGGAAUUACAGCUGCUUGCCUAGAGGAGCUUUGAUAACAAAAUAGCAUUACCUACUCACUAUGAACUCAGAGGUUUCAAUAUCUUGGGCUUUCUUGGUGCUUGUAUUAGCAGACAAGAGCCCCAAGAAGGCUGGCUACGUCGUCAUCCUCGUGGAGUUCCUGCUGGCUCGGCUCCAGCUCCUCUUGCACUAGUAGUGAAGAAGGGUAGUGUCAAAAUAUUCAGAGAUUGUUGUAUAUCCAUCACCUCUAGUGUUAGCAUAGCCGUAUGCCAGCAUUUUUGGUAUUAUCGUCUGUUGUCGGAAACCAAAGAGUUGAUUUUUCAUGGAUAAAAGAUGAAAUAUAGAUACCGAGCUAGAUGUUUUUGUCCCACCUAGAUUUUUUGAUUUUAUCGGUACUUUUGAACUUUUGUGGUCUUGCCUUCCCGGCGGCGACCCAUACGCAGACUAGCCAAAGAAACCUGAGUAUGAGUACAACGGCUAGUUUGUCUCUUCCAAUGUUGUGGCUUUUCUUAUUUUAGAUUUAAGUUUGUCAUUGUUGUAUGAAUGUGUCACAUUUAGGAUAACAGAGUAAUUAUUAUAUAUCUCAUGGCCUAUAUUUAGUUAUUUACUAGUGUCAUUUUGAACCAUAAUAAAUGGUUGUAUGAACAUGUCAUGAUUAUGAAAUUAUCUAUUUGCACUCAAACUAAAUGCAUGAUGGAGCCACUCUAUUCUUUUUCACUCUGAAACCAAAAACCGCUCCGUUUUGUUUUACUCAAACCAAACAAAAAGUAGAGCAAUUCCGUUCUAACUCAGAAUCUUGACCAAAACCGCUCCGUCCAAAUAGACUCUGGAAACAAACACUACCAUACUAAACGAACUACUCUGCAGAAGCUGGAGACAGGACGUAACAUGUUGCCUAGCUGGCUGCAUUGUGG
This 1665-nucleotide long non-coding RNA is filed under the name Zea mays. RNAcentral describes it as "long non-coding RNA (ZMAY_LNC004044)". Lineage: Eukaryota; Viridiplantae; Streptophyta; Magnoliopsida; Poales; Poaceae. The record is from RNAcentral.